AAACCGUGACAGGCUAAAUGAAAAUUUUCAUUGCAGUCAUCUUCUCCGGCUUUCCCCAUCCAAUCUUACAGCUUUGUUUUGUGAUUUGCUCCAAAGGGCGAGGUUUAGACUCUAAAGCUGACACUUGCUGUGAUACUCUGUUGUGCAGUUUCAUAAUGUUCUUCGCUAACAAUCCAAAGUUGGACCAUAGGUGAUGUUUCCAAAUACUGUGUAUCAGAUCAAAGUUCUGGGAAAUCUGGUUAUUGACUUAUUGCAAAGCUUUUGAGAGCUUUUGAGAUGAUGCUACAGAUUACUGAAGUGCAUUUUCUCUUGGUAAACUAUUAUCACCACUUCUCAGAAACAGCCCAGUUCCUUCCUGUAUUGUGAAUGUCACAUCUCUCACACAUCGAAGUGGAAACAUCUGGAGUUUACUUUUUUGGUGGAAAGGGCCAUACUGUCAGCUCUUCUAUGCUUUCAUAUGAUGCCAAACGUCCGAAGGAACUUUGGAAUACAUCGUCUGAUCUAUUUCUAGAGUCACAAGUUUGGAAUACCUCCACUUCUGUAUCAAAUUGUGUAUCAUAGGUAAACAACAGUUUACAUAUAAAUGGAUGUGUUAAUUAUAAGGUGUUUGACUUGGUUGAUGACGUUGUCAUUGUUAUGCUUAACUAAGUAAUUUUCCUUAGAUUGGAUUAUAGCAGCAUGGACUACAUUAUCUUAGGCAACCGUGGGUUAACUUUUUAGAGUGGAUAGCUGACCAAUGGAGGGAACACAUCUCGAAAAUUACAAAGAAGUUAUAUUUGGCUGUGUCUCACUGAAGGGGAGGAACCAUAUGGCUUUUACAAAUGUGAUUAGUCCUCCUAAAGUCAUACUUAUUUCUAUUAUUACCUGCAGUGGGAGCAGAUUUUGCUCCUUCAAGUUUAAACCAUAAUCCUUCACUUAUCCAUAAGUGGCAUCCCCCUUAUGAAAGUUGGCUUUUUGGCAGACUACUAGUGAUGAAUCAAUGACUUGAGGUAUCAUUUGGAGAAACAAGCCCUCAUAUUUUUGCUCUAAAUGCACUGCGAUUCUCUUUUCUUUUACACCAAUUGUAAUAUAAUUUUUUGGAAUAGUUCUUUGCAAUUUCUUCCUCUCGUUUGAGUUUUGUUAGAUCUUGUUUUUGAGAGAACUUGAUGUCUCAGUACAUUAUAACAAGUACACAGGGGUGUUAUAGAAUUCUGUUCUGUUGUAUGCAUGAAAUGAAUACUCUGUGAUCGGAUCCAAACUUACUAGAACUAGAAGUUGCGUUAAUCAGUAUUAAUCGCAAUAUCUGUAGUUAUUUUGGAUUUCAUUUAUUGAACGCAUGAUAAAGUGGAAGUGGCAUUUACAUGCAGCCUGCCCUGGAAAUUUAUGGUGUUAGUUUUUUAACACAAUCAUCUAACUCACGUAGAAGUUCCUUUCUCUUAGCAAAUAACUCAUCUUAAAGAUAUACAAAACCUCCAACCUUGAGUUUUGUCUGUCGGAAAAACUGAAUUAUAAAAAGGAGAUAUUAAGUGCAAUGAAGAAGGCUUGUGCCAAACUCAUGGAUGAUGAAACUUAUAUCAGUAAUGGAAAUUUCUGAUUGCAGUGGACUGCCCUUCUAGUGUUUAUGAUUGAAGCAAUAGUUUGUGCUGUUGAAAUCUAGUCAUCUUUGUGUUGGAAUUUGAUUACAAUAUCUGAGAACUAAUGCAUUUCAACUGUAAGGAAACUUGCAGGAAGAGUUGCCACUUCUGGAUUCUGUGUUAUAGUCCCGGACUUCAUCUACGGAGACCCAUUUGUGUAUGACAAUUACAGGCCUCAAGCAGUCUGGUUAAAAGAUCAUGGAACGGUUCUUCUUGCUCUUUCAUGAAUUCCUGGAUAUUAUUUUUUAAUUAAAUGCUCAGCUGUAAUAUUGACGCGUGAAUCAGAUAUUUACAAUUUUGGGUUGCACCAAAAUUUAUUUGUAUCCUGCUGCCUGGUUUUCUUGUUUUUCCUUCACACCUAGCAUAUAUUCUAGCAAAAUGGAAACAUUUUGCCCGUUUUAGAAGUUUGUUGCCCUAAUGUUGCAAACUCAUGCAUAUAUUGUUGCAUAUUUUAGCUAUAGAUAAUGUCAAAUUAGUGAUUGCUAAGCAUUGAUCAGGAUAAGGGCUUUAAAGAUGCAAAAUUAGCGAUUGACGCUCUGACAGGCAAAGAUUUUUCUGCAACUGGUGCUGCAGGCUUCUAUUGGGGUGGUGAAUGUAGUUGAUAUUCUUUUUGUACAGAUUUUCUUCUCCCUUUUCUCUUGUUUUGUUAACUUUCAGUUUUUUCGUCAUCAGAUAUUUAGUUCCACUUGUAGUUUCCCCUAGUUCAAUUCUUCAGCAACAAUUCUUCAGCAACAUAAAUGAGGAAUCUACAACUAUAGCAGCUGACUGAACUAUGUUUUUCUCAGCCAAGGUCGUCACCAAACUUGCGAAGUCCGAGUCCAUCCAAGCUGCUGUGCUGUUACAUCCUUCAUUUAUUUAGGUGGAUGAGCAAUUUUGUUCUUUUAAGUUCUUAACUAUAGGUUGAUAGCUAUGUGAAGAUAUCUCCAAAAGUUGCACAUGGUUGGGCUGUGUGGUACGAUGUUGAAUAUGAAGUAGCUGCAUGCAAAGAGUGCAGAGGAAGCGUAUAUGACGAGUUGCAGUGGUUAUGUAAAGUAAUUAUCUCCUUCUCAUUCUGUUUUUGAUGAGAACAAACAUGGAUUCUUAAAUGGUAGAAUAAUUCUUGGAACUCUGAUCCAAUUCGAAGUCUUGAUCUAUUAAGUAUGAUAUUUGAUACUCUGCUAUAUAUUCCAAAACAAUGUUCUUAUUUCAA
This is a long non-coding RNA of Rosa rugosa (rugosa rose), 2802 nucleotides long. RefSeq lists it as uncharacterized. The record is from RefSeq and is a predicted model, not a curated record. The transcript has 4 exons. NCBI's taxonomy places the organism in Eukaryota, Viridiplantae, Streptophyta, Magnoliopsida, Rosales, Rosaceae.